This 585-nucleotide long non-coding RNA is filed under the name Bos taurus (domestic cattle). Its description in RNAcentral is "long non-coding RNA NONBTAT026048". The record is from RNAcentral. Lineage: Eukaryota; Metazoa; Chordata; Mammalia; Artiodactyla; Bovidae.
CCUUUUGUUUUCCUUUUUAAGUAUUAUUUUUAGCUACAUUUUAAGAAAAUUAAGAGGUCCUGUUUAAGUCAACACUGACCUACCAAUAAUUCUAAAUAUCUGUAAAACAAAUCUACAUAAAACCUUGCAAUGUCAUAUCUUAUAUAAGGACAAAUAAAUAAUGAUAAUUUUAAAAUUCUGGUUAAGCUUUGAACAUUUAGAAAUAUUUUUUGAAGCAUUAUGAAAACCAUGUUCUGAGAGCAACCAAAAUGAACUUAUUCCUGCCCCAGUUGUCACAGGCUCUGGAACAUAGAAAAUGCCAGGGAGAAGAUCAGGAGCUUAAACCACCUCAGAAGAAAAAAAUGAUAGAAAUAUAUUAACUAUGUUUAACUAUAUCAACUAUAUUUAAUGACCUAUGGGUCAUUUUCUAGCCACCAAUAGAUUUCGUAUUUCAGUAAAUUAACGAAAUUUAAAGUAUUUCAUCCUGUAAUUGUACUAAGCAUCUUAUAAGCUUUUUCUUGUAGAUAUCAAUUCAGAGGAUCAUCUUUAAACGAAAAGUAAAGGGGUAUAAUAAAAGUUCAAACAGGGGAAUUCCUAGGGUAGAGC